CUCUCUGUUACACAAAAAGUAGUGUGCAUAUACAGGAUGUUUACUUUAAAUUGAAAAAGUGUUACAGAUAUAUUCAACAUUUAUGCCUAUUUUUAUUUAAAUUAAAUUGCAUCCAAAUGCCGAAAACUGUUGUUUAAUUCCAGUUUUUUUUUUCUUGUGCAAUAUAUGGGUGUCUGUUCAGGGAAGGACAUUUCAGACGAGCUUUUUAAACCCUUAGAGUUGGAACAAUCAUGGGAGACAACAGCAGAUACAGCAGAAGGACACACCGCAUGCAUUGAAGAUGGAGUGUCUGUUGAUGCUGUGCCAAUCAUCACUACAGAGCAUUUCACAGAAGACAAUGAGCCAGGCCCAAGUGCAGCUGAAGAGGUCGUUGGGUCUUUAGAUGGACAGCUUGAGGAGAUUUUUGGGAUGCUGAAAAAGAAGCUGAAUGAGGAUGCAAGUUUUACACCGCCUGUAAGAGCUUUUGUGUCCAGUUUCUUUCAAAUAAAGACUGACAGUGCUCUUCAGGCAUCACUCUUUUCCUUUGGUAAGACCACUCCGAUAAUCAAUCAGAUCAAUGUACUACCAGCUACAGGUCCACGGAGGAGAGGGGCUUUGGCUGGACGAAGAGCUGUUGGCAGACCUCCAAAGAACUCAAGAAGAGAGCACCCAUACUGCAACAGCAGAUCCAACAACAAUCCCCAAACUCUCACAUUCUGUUUGCAAGACAAUAACACCCUUGAGAAGACAGACUAACCUCCUGUCCCCAACACACCACCGCCACCAGCAUGUGGUGGGUUAAGAGAUCCAAACACUAUAUAGAAGCUAUUAAAUCAAUAAGCCUUGAGAAGCUUGGCAUGAACAUCAUGAAACCUGAGCAUUACAAGAAAUCAGUGUUUACACCAUUUAUUUUAUAUUUCUGGUAUUGAUGUGCACAAUUCAACAAUGCACAUUAUUCUAAAAGAGAAAACAUUGUAAUUUUGAUAAUAAUGUAAUAAACUGGCUCCAUUCAGGUAUGAAACACCCACUUUUCACCAUGCAGUCAAUUGACUGAAUAAAAAUCAAGUUCCACCCUUCAUUUUUUCCCUAUUCAUUGAAUGUUCUGUUUCAGUUUGUAUUGUCAUAUUAUGACUUUAUAUAAUAAUUGCACCUAUGCUGGCCACCAUAUAUUUCAAGGUGUCCAGACACCUGUAACUUACCUUUUAAC
RNAcentral lists this long non-coding RNA (1186 nucleotides) under Sinocyclocheilus anshuiensis. Its description in RNAcentral is "lncRNA (ENSSANG00000014422.1)". The record is from RNAcentral. Lineage: Eukaryota; Metazoa; Chordata; Actinopteri; Cypriniformes; Cyprinidae.